AGUGAACGCUGGCGGUAGGCCUAACACAUGCAAGUCGAACGGCAGCACAGUAAGAGCUUGCUCUUACGGGUGGCGAGUGGCGGACGGGUGAGGAAUACAUCGGAAUCUACUUUUUCGUGGGGGAUAACGGAGGGAAACUUACGCUAAUACCGCAUACGACCUACGGGUGAAAGCAGUGGAUCUUCGGACCUUUGGCGAUUGAAUUAGCCGAUGUCGGAUUAGCUAGUUGGCGUGGUAAAGGCCCACCAAGGCGACGAUCCGUAGCUGGUCUGAGAGGAUGAUCAGCCACACUGGAACUCAGACACGGUCCAGACUCCUACGGGAGGCAGCAGUGGGGAAUAUUGGACAAUGGGCGCAAGCCUGAUCCAGCAAUACCGCGUGGGUGAAGAAGGCCUUCGGGUUGUAAAGCCCUUUUGUUGGGAAAGAAAAGCAGCAGGUUAAUACCCCGCUGUUCUGACGGUACCCAAAGAAUAAGCACCGGCUAACUUCGUG
This 492-nucleotide ribosomal RNA is filed under the name uncultured bacterium. Its description in RNAcentral is "partial 16S ribosomal RNA". It matches the Rfam family "Bacterial small subunit ribosomal RNA", at positions 29 to 507 of the family's 1533-position model. The record is from RNAcentral.